This 717-nucleotide ribosomal RNA is filed under the name uncultured bacterium. Its description in RNAcentral is "bacterial SSU rRNA". It matches the Rfam family "Bacterial small subunit ribosomal RNA", at positions 102 to 806 of the family's 1533-position model. The record is from RNAcentral.
ACGGGUGAGUAACACGUGGGUAACCUGCCCAUCAGAAGGGGAUAACACUUGGAAACAGGUGCUAAUACCGUAUAACACUAUUUUCCGCAUGGAAGAAAGUUGAAAGGCGCUUUUGCGUCACUGAUGGAUGGACCCGCGGUGCAUUAGCUAGUUGGUGAGGUAACGGCUCACCAAGGCCACGAUGCAUAGCCGACCUGAGAGGGUGAUCGGCCACACUGGGACUGAGAUACGGCCCAGACUCCUACGGGAGGCAGCAGUAGGGAAUCUUCGGCAAUGGACGAAAGUCUGACCGAGCAACGCCGCGUGAGUGAAGAAGGUUUUCGGAUCGUAAAACUCUGUUGUUAGAGAAGAACAAGGAUGAGAGUAGAACGUUCAUCCCUUGACGGUAUCUAACCAGAAAGCCACGGCUAACUACGUGCCAGCAGCCGCGGUGAUACGUAGGUGGUAAGCGUUGUCCGGAUUUAUUGGGCGUAAAGCGAGCGCAGGCGGUUUCUUAAGUCUGAUGUGAAAGCCCCCGGCUCAACCGGGGAGGGUCAUUGGAAACUGGGAGACUUGAGUGCAGAAGAGGAGAGUGGAAUUCCAUGUGUAGCGGUGAAAUGCGUAGAUAUAUGGAGGAACACCAGUGGCGAAGGCGGCUCUCUGGUCUGUAACUGACGCUGAGGCUCGAAAGCGUGGGGAGCGAACAGGAUUAGAUACCCUGGUAGUCCACGCCGUAAA